Long non-coding RNA from Ipomoea nil (Japanese morning glory), 2601 nucleotides. RefSeq lists it as uncharacterized. The record is from RefSeq and is a predicted model, not a curated record. The transcript is spliced from 10 exons. NCBI's taxonomy places the organism in Eukaryota, Viridiplantae, Streptophyta, Magnoliopsida, Solanales, Convolvulaceae.
CCUCAGCCUUUCGCAACUCACCUCUACUCCGCUGCCGUUCCUCCACCUCCGCCUAUCGUCCCUCCACCUCCGCCUGCCAUUCCUCCAUCUCCACAACGUAAAUCUAUUGUCCACAACAGGAAGUCUUCGCCGUCGCGCUUCGCCUGCUACAGUGUGUGUGCGGUGGGGGGACUAUUUUGUUCAAGAUCAAGGCAUUGUUCUGCUGAAAACUUGGAAUGCUUAUUUGCUUUUGAGAAGUUCCGAUUCUGUUGCUUUUAGGAGGUAACUUGUGGCAGAAAUGCAUUGCCAUUUUAUGCUGCUGUGAGAUUGAGAAUGAUUAGAAAAGAACUGCUCAGUGCUAAUGACGAGGUAAUGAUUCCAAGUUACAAUUUGUUAACAUUUUGGCCUAAGGGUAAAUUCUUAAUCCCUUAAGUUUAAUAUUUUUCAUUUCUGGUAAAUACCAUAAUUUUUGACAAUUUUGUACAAGGGAGAUUAACUGAUCAGUGUUGCCCAAGACUCCAGUUGUCUGCAAACCAUCUGAAGCUAGAUCAGUUUUGUACAUGGCAGAAAUUGCCACAUUGCAUCAUGUGGGGAGACGAUGCCAAGGCCCCAUGGUCUCCCUUGCGAAUCUUCGACGACAAAGGAUGCGAGCGACGAGUCCGACGAAGCCUGCGAGUGACGAGGGCACUAUUCCAGUCUCCAACGAACAACGGCUUGGCGACAGCCGACAUGUAUUUUUUUUUUGCUAAGAAGAAUGUGUGCUUGCUAAGAAGAAGAAACAACAUCCAUCCUUACAUGUGAUUUUUUCUUCUUUUUAACCUUGUGCAUGCAAUAGUUGAAUCUCUUCAGGAACAUCAUCCCCCUGUUUUUGAUACAUGUGAUUUGAUGAAGACAGAUGAUUUUUGCAGGCACACUUGUGUCGAAUUGCUAAUGAGCAAACUGCAAUCUGUAAAAGCUAGACAAAAAAUUGGUUGUAUUAAUAGACUUAGCAGGCUGGUGCAAAACAUGUUUAUGCUGUAGAAGCAUCUAAAAUGGUAGAAUAUGCCUGAAAGUUGAUUGCGGGCAAUCUAUUAUAUGCUGAAAGAAUUACAGUAAUAAAGGGAAAUGUUGAAGAUGUUGAGUUACCAGAGAAAGCAGAUAUUUUAAUUUCUGAGCCAAUGGGUAAACAUUUCGGUCACCAUUCUUUUACUAGAUGACAAUGUCUUUGAUGUCUUUAUGCUUGCGAUACCAAUUGUAGUUCAAGCCAAGACACUAGUAGAAAAGUUUUGUACAGGAAAAUUUUAUAAAGCAGUGUAUUUGUGGACAUUACGACUCUCCAUAGAAAUGAUGUGCACUGAAAAUGGGUUCUCUUCAAACAAGGCUGCUCUGUUAUCAUUGUUUGAACUCCUUAGGAAUGUUCUAAUGAAGGUUUCUAUAUCAAAAGCAGAAAACUUGUGGCUUAUGGCGCUCAAGGGGUUUUCAAGUCAUUAACAGAUUUUUGACAAACUGAUAGAUACUGCGGUGGCUUUAUUGGCUAAAGAUGGUGGAUUUCGCUCUCUUCAGCCAUUGUAAAUUAUGUUCUACAGAAGGAUGGACUUCGCAGUGCAAGAGAGAUGUACAGGAGGUAUGUUGUGACAUUUGAUGCAAUGAUAUUUUAGUACAUUCUAGAAUUCGAGUUUGACAUUUGCUUAUGACUUUUAAUUUGUCUGGAGGAGCAGAUAAUAAGCACUGCAAUUUUCUUGUUCCAGAUGUUAGAAUAUUGAGCUACUCUACGUUCCUAUCUAAAUGCAGAUUUAUCGCACAACUCUCAACGGUUUAGAGUUCAGGCUUAAAUUUGUGUAUGCUAACCACAGAAAUUUUGUUUUCUAUUCCCCUGUUGUUGAUGUUUUGAACAACUACCGAGUUCAAUAAAGGAUUCUUGGCCUUGUUGGGCAUUUUCUAAGUUUGAAUCCUCUCGAUGCAACACCGCCCAUCCAGGAGAUUGGUAUAGGAGGUAAAUUGCAGGGAAAAUGUCUCAACUAGCCAACAAUCUUGUACACUAAUGCCCACAAUGUCUUGUUAGCAAAGCAAAGUUUAUAAACUUAUUUUGAUUUAGUUGACCAGUUGACCCAUAGCUGACCCUGAAGAUAAGAAGCCAGAGGGGUAUAAUGACAUCCCCAACGAUAUUUUUGAUUCUAAUGCUAAGAAGUUGCAUUGCUUGGAGAAAAAUGGGAAACAAGUAACAAGAAUGGUUUCAUAUUGUGCAUACCACAGGGCUCCAAAUCCUGAUACCGUUUUAAUUAUACAGACGCCAAAAUGGGUCUUCUCUGCUAGAAGCCUUCUUCAGGCCAAGCGUACAGGUUCACGAUUAAUAUCAACAAACAGAUUGAAGCUUGAGGAAUCUCCAGGUGCUGAGGUUGAUGAAAUUGACCCAUUCUCAGCAGCUAGAUGCCGUGCUUUUAAACAACAGAGAAAUAAGGUAUACUAGAUUGAUAAUUUGACAUAAAAGUGAAAACAGAAAUGAAAUCUUUAAGCUCACUAAGAAAGGGAUUGAUGAUCUCUAUGUUUUAGCACCAAUUAUGAUCUAUUCUUGUCACUAUGUCAAAAUAAAGGAUAUAAACUUUCUGGUGAGUAGAUAUUAUGCUGAUGUUGCUUCAAAUUUAU